Molecule: long non-coding RNA, 257 nt
Filed under: Mytilus galloprovincialis (Mediterranean mussel)
Lineage: Eukaryota; Metazoa; Mollusca; Bivalvia; Mytilida; Mytilidae
Source: RNAcentral
UGGUUGGUGCUAUAAUACAAGUGUCGUAGCAUAGUUCAAAUGUGAAAUAACCAAGUUGUUUGUCCAAUUCGGAGUGAAUGAGACACAGGCUACUCCGGACGAAAAAGUGUCCUUCAAUAUGAUUGGUCGGAAUUUGUUAUUCAGGAUUCCAGAUCAGUAUUUGCUUAAACCACUAAAAGUUCAUUCAUAACUAGGCUACUAAGUUGAUGAUACUCUUGGAAAUAUUGAUCAGUGGCAGACAAAGAAGUAAGAACAGU